RNAcentral lists this ribosomal RNA (252 nucleotides) under uncultured bacterium. RNAcentral's name for it is "partial 16S ribosomal RNA". It matches the Rfam family "Bacterial small subunit ribosomal RNA", at positions 524 to 776 of the family's 1533-position model. The record is from RNAcentral.
UACGAAGGGGCGAGCGUUGUUCGGAUUUACUGGGCGUAAAGGGCGCGCAGGCGGCUAUCCAAGUCAGGCGUGAAAGCCCCGGGCUUAACCUGGGAGGUGCGUCUGGGACUGGGUGGCUAGAGAUCGGGAGAGGAGAGUGGAAUUCCCAGUGUAGAGGUGAAAUUCGUAGAUAUUGGGAAGAACACCGGUGGCGAAGGCGGCUCUCUGGACCGAUACUGACGCUGAGGCGCGAAAGCGUGGGGAGCAAACAGG